CGGGGGGAGGGGGGAUCACUCAGCCUGGAUUGCAAGAGGGCGCAGGCCAGGCCAAGGGAUCCCACUGGUGCAUG
Molecule: microRNA precursor, 74 nt
Filed under: Myotis davidii
Lineage: Eukaryota; Metazoa; Chordata; Mammalia; Chiroptera; Vespertilionidae
Description: mir-9193 microRNA precursor family
Rfam family: mir-9193 microRNA precursor family
Source: Rfam by way of RNAcentral